Molecule: ribosomal RNA, 606 nt
Filed under: uncultured bacterium
Lineage: Bacteria
Description: bacterial SSU rRNA
Rfam family: Bacterial small subunit ribosomal RNA
Source: RNAcentral
CAUUAGCUUGACGGCGGGGUAACGGCCCACCGUGGCGACGAUGCGUAGGGGUUCUGAGAGGAAGGUCCCCCACACUGGUACUGAGACACGGACCAGACUCCUACGGGAGGCAGCAGUGAGGAAUAUUGGUCAAUGGGAGAGAUCCUGAACCAGCCAAGCCGCGUGAGGGAAGACGGCCCUAUGGGUUGUAAACCUCUUUUGUCGGAGAACAAAACCCGGGACGUGUCCCGGACUGCGUGUAUCCGAAGAAAAAGCAUCGGCUAACUCCGUGCCAGCAGCCGCGGUAAUACGGAGGAUGCGAGCGUUAUCCGGAUUUAUUGGGUUUAAAGGGUGCGUAGGCGGUCCGUUAAGUCAGCGGUAAAAUUGCGGGGCUCAACCCCGUCGAGCCGUUGAAACUGGCAGACUUGAGUUGGCGAGAAGUACGCGGAAUGCGCGGUGUAGCGGUGAAAUGCAUAGAUAUCGCGCAGAACUCCGAUUGCGAAGACAGCGUACCGGCGCCAGACUGACGCUGAGGCACGAAAGCGUGGGGAUCGAACAGGAUUAGAUACCCUGGUAGUCCACGCAGUAAACGAUGAAUGCUGGUUGUCCGGGUCGAAUGAGACCUGG